Molecule: ribosomal RNA, 465 nt
Filed under: uncultured bacterium
Lineage: Bacteria
Description: partial 16S ribosomal RNA
Rfam family: Bacterial small subunit ribosomal RNA
Source: RNAcentral
CUACGGGACGCAGCAGUGGGGAAUAUUGGACAAUGGGGGAAACCCUGAUCCAGCAAUGCCGCGUGUGUGAAGAAGGCCUGCGGGUUGUAAAGCACUUUCGGUUGGGAGGACUGCUUCUAGCACUAAUAUUGUUGGAAGUUGACGUUACCUUCAGAAGAAGCACCGGCUAACUCCGUGCCAGCAGCCGCGGUAAUACGGAGGGUGCAAGCGGUAAUCGGAAUUACUGGGCGUAAAGCGCGCGUAGGCGGCUAGAUCAGUCGGGUGUGAAAGCCCCGGACUUAACCGGGGAACGGCAUCCGAUACUGUCUAGCUUGAGUACAGGAGAGGAGAGUGGAAUUCCACAUGUAGCGGUGAAAUGCGUAGAUAUGUGGAGGAACACCAAUGGCGAAGGCAGCUCUCUGGCCUGAUACUGACGCUGAGGUGCGAAAGCGUGGGGAGCAAACAGGAUUAGAUACCCUCGUAGUC